Molecule: long non-coding RNA, 1352 nt
Organism: Rosa chinensis
Lineage: Eukaryota; Viridiplantae; Streptophyta; Magnoliopsida; Rosales; Rosaceae
Exons: 3
Source: RefSeq, a predicted model, not a curated record
AUUUCCGCCACCACCAUUUGAAUCGUAAAACAAACCCGACCAAGACCCAGUCGUUUCGCCGUCGAUCAAGACGUUCCGGUCACCGCACUCGACCUCCAAACCUGCGACGCCACUGUUCCACGACCCUCACCGAUUUCCAGUCAUCCCUUUACCACACCACCAUCACCACUGCACUCAGCGAGCAAUGGGGAAGAAGACCCAGAGGUUCCGUCACCCACCGAUGCCGGACGAGGCCGUACAAGUAGUCGCCGGAAUCUGGGAUUCUGCAAGUAUUGAUUCGUCGUUUCCGGCCACUCGAGCUGCACAACCACCAUAGUUGGAAUCAGGGCCUCCUCAUUCUUCAAAACCCUUUGGUCCCGACCUUUGCUUUGGCCAGAACCGCUGCACGCGCUGCCGCUGCCGUGUGGACCACCGUGGCUCCGCCACCGGAUUUCCAGGCCACCUUUAUUAGUUUUUGAUUAUGUGUUUUGAAGUUUCUGGAGAAAGGAAUAGGCAUUGGUUCAGUUUGACGUAUAAUGAAGGAAGGAGUUCGAAUGGUUGUUGGUGGUGGAGGACUACACUUAUUUAGAAUUGGCCCUCUAUUUGGAGAUGAAGAAUUGGGAACUGACAGAAAAGAAGAUGGGUAUUCCUAAUCCAGAAGCGAUCAAGCAGUUUCAAUUGACAAUGGAGGAAGGUAGAGUUUGAACAACCCAUUUCAAAUAUGUAAAUGGAUCAUCCUUUUGUUUGAUCUGAAAUUUUAUCUCUGUUUUUUGUUCGUCUUUUUUGGUUUUUUAACUUUACAGUUGAUGAGCUGCUGAAGAACACAUUUGAGGUUAGACCCCAUUUCUCUUUCAAGUUUGGGUAUAUUUGUUUCACCAUAGGUAAAAUAGUGUAUGAAAAGCAAGUUGUGAAUAUGCAGAUGUUAAAAACAUGCAUCUUUUUUGUUGGAACUGGUUUUCUGAGCUUUUCUUUUUUCAGUUUGUUCUUGUUGGGAUAGGGAAGAAUCACUUUAAUUGGCUUCCAAUGAAUUAUUUCAUGCUAAUCUUGCUUAUAGAAAGUUCUGUGAUUAUUGUUAACAUGAGGAAAUUAAUGGUAGGCUGAGAUAUGUUCAUGCCUAAUUGUUUGUGUUUGCUUUCAAGUUUUACAACUAUAAACCUGAGUCUCUGAAAGCGGCCUUCCCUAGAGUUGACAAGUUGCAAACCCUAAUAUGAAAGAUGGCGUAUAUGAGCAUUUUUCCUUCAUUCAUUUUAGUAUGAAAGCUGAAUUUCUUUGAACUAUUCUUAUAUUUGGUUUAGAAUUGGAAUAUUGUACGUAGAAAAUUGUUGUUAGUUAAAAGAGUUGAGUUCAAGAAACAUUUGUUCUUUUGUAUUCAA